This is a long non-coding RNA of Erinaceus europaeus (western European hedgehog), 2265 nucleotides long. RefSeq lists it as uncharacterized. The transcript is spliced from 7 exons. The record is from RefSeq and is a predicted model, not a curated record. NCBI's taxonomy places the organism in Eukaryota, Metazoa, Chordata, Mammalia, Eulipotyphla, Erinaceidae.
ACUAGUCUUUUUGUUUGUUUGUUGUUUUUGCCUGAGCCUGAAAUCUGAUAUGCAGCUGGAUCCAAGUUAUUAUCUGGGGAGAUGAUGUCAUGGCUGGGAUAAGGAUCAAAAAGCUGGAUCAGGGAAGAGAUUAGCUCCCUAAUAUGGGAAAGGGGUAUAAAUAUUGUUGACUGUCAACUCCAUCAAUUUGAUGUGAUCUGGGGCCCAUAAUUAGCUUAGGAGCCUGUGUGACCUCUGCAUCCCUCUAGAUCAGAGCUCACAUUCUGUGGUCAUGAGUAGGAACAUUCCAUGCUGCCCCAGUAUCAACCCAUCUUCCUCAGGUGUAGCAUAGAGUAUGUUGUCCAUCCUCCCUUUGGAGGAUGGAACAUUCUCUACGAUUGUUGAUCCCAGUUGAGGGUAAGGUCCUAUGGGAACCCACAAAGGGGUCUAUUUUGUUGUUCCUGAUAUUUUUAUUCUUUUUAUUUCACACAUAGAGAGGAAGAGAUACCACAGCACUUCCAUCUGUGGAGCUUUCUCUGGUGCUGUGGUGCUCCCAUGUGGUGCCAGGGUUCAAACUUGGAGCGUCAUUCAAGGCAAGGGCCAUCCUACUAUCAGAAAGGAGAUGCGGAGAAGAGGCACGUGGGUCAGCAGCAACCCAGCCAGCCACCUGCCGCCUGUUACCCACAGGCCCUCAGAGGAGGAGGGAAGUCUCUCCUUGGCCCAGAGCAGCCCGGAGUCCUGGCAUUCAACCGCCAGGGCUCCUAAUUAGCAUGAAGUAAGAUCAUUUUAGUGCCACAGAACACUGACUUUAGGCUAUGCAGCGUUUUCAGAGUGGCUGCCCUGGGGACUCCCAGGAGAAGCCCGGGAUUUGAAUACUUGAAGACUGCAAAGGAGAAGGUUCUGCCCAGGAGGACCCAGCCAGCACUUGCCUGGAGAGGCACUCUGGACUUAAUUUCCCACCAAUCCUGGGUCUCAGAAACAGACAAUCAAGCAAUAAACAAACGGAUAUAAUAAGACCAUCAGGUCCAGUUGACAAAGAAACUGAAGUUCAGAGAAAGCAAGACACCUGACUGCUGGAUGACAUAGCUGGGAUACCCUCUGCACCAAGAACGCUUGACGGAACUUGAGGAAAGACUCAGAGAUCCAGCUCCAGUGGGUCUGCUGCUGGCUCAGAUGGGAAAGGAGGUGGAGAUGGAGAUGGGGUGCCCACCUGAACAAGUGGACCAGAGCUCUGGAGAUGCGAGGGUCCAGGACACAUUGGUGAGAUUGUCUGCCUAGAGAAGUCGGGAUGGAGUCAUGGUCACAUCUGAGGAACACUGCUGACUGUACUCAUUUCAGGACCAGUCUUUUUCAAGUGGCAGGGAAGGAUACUCCCAGCCUCCCUUUAGAGACUGGGGCUAUCCCUACCUGUACUCUGUCUUCCCGUGGAAGAAAACCAAAACAAAAUAUCUUCCACCAGAGGCCAAAUUGUUGGCUUCCCCCAACAAUUACUCAUGGACUAUUAAAGCAUCUUAUGUCUAUUGUAAGUGAGAGAAAUAUUUUAAUUUGACAUGGGCAGUGGCUACAUAGUAUAGACUAGUGGCUUUUUUUUUUUUUUUUUUUUAGCAUAAUGGUUACGCAACAGACUCUCAUGCCUGAGGCUCCAAAGUCCCAGGUUCAAUCUCCUGCGCCACCAUAAACCAGAGCUGAACAGUGCUCUGGGAAAUAAAUAAAUAAAUAAAAAAUUAAAAAGUAUUUUUAAAAUCUUUAUUUAUUGGAUAGAGACAGCCAGAGAUGGAGAGGAAGGAGGAUAUAGAGAGGGAAAGAGACAGAGACACUUGCAACACUGCUUCACCACUUCCCCCCGUAGGUGCGGAUAGAGGCUCAAACCCAUGUCCUUGUGCAUUGUAACGCACAUUCAGCCAGUUGCACCAUCACCCGGCCCUGACACAUGAAGACUUUUACCAAGCUGUUUGUUUAUUUUAUUUUAUUUUUCAAUUUUUUAAAUUUCUUUAUUGGGGGAUUCAUGUUUUAGUUGACGGUAAAUACAAGAGCUUAUACAGUUUGUGUAUUUUUUAUUUUAUUUAUUUAUGAGAAGGGUAGGAAGAGAGAGAGAGAAAGAACCAGACAUCACUCUGGUACAUGUGCUGCCGUGGAUCACAUUUAAGACCUCAUGCUGGAGAGUUCAACACUUUAUCCACUGUACCACCUUUCAGACCACCCAAGCUGUGGGUUUAAAUCUGUGCAUUUGCUGUAUUGGGUCAGAUCAAUCUUUGUUUAGGGGGAGACUUAUCUAUCUGCCCUGGC